This 257-nucleotide ribosomal RNA is filed under the name uncultured Staphylococcus sp. Its description in RNAcentral is "partial 16S ribosomal RNA". It matches the Rfam family "Bacterial small subunit ribosomal RNA", at positions 83 to 334 of the family's 1533-position model. The record is from RNAcentral. Lineage: Bacteria; Bacillati; Bacillota; Bacilli; Caryophanales; Staphylococcaceae.
CCUUUGACGUUAGCGGCGGACGGGUGAGUAACACGUGGGUAACCUACCUAUAAGACUGGGAUAACUUCGGGAAACCGGAGCUAAUACCGGAUAAUAUUUCGAACCGCAUGGUUCGAUAGUGAAAGAUGGUUUUGCUAUCACUUAUAGAUGGACCCGCGCCGUAUUAGCUAGUUGGUAAGGUAACGGCUUACCAAGGCGACGAUACGUAGCCGACCUGAGAGGGUGAUCGGCCACACUGGAACUGAGACACGGUCCAG